UGAGGAUGCCCUGCCGCAUCAGGGCUGUGUGUUCGUGCGUGCAUGCGUGCGUGUGUGAGUGUGUGUAUGCGAGUGUGGAUAGUGCGUGCGGAUAGUGUCUGUGAACGUGCCUGAGCCUGAGUGGCCGCUCCGCGGACAGGCACCUACUAUGUGGAACAGGGUUGUGCAACAUAGCAUAACAUGUCCACAACCCUGGGCUGUGCAACAGGAGUGCUGCAGAGAGCGAGUUGGCAAGAUUCCUGCCCAGGAUGGUCUGACGGUCCAGAGGAAAUAGGAAAGGUGUUGGUGGCGUCAGUGCUGUGCAGAGGAAUACAACUGAUUUGGGUGCAUGGCCAGAAGGCCUCUUAAGGCUCCACGUGGGAGCAGGAGAGAGGGCUGGUCCGUCCGGAAUGAAUAGUCAACAAACACCUUCUGAGUGUCUGCGGAAGCCUGGGUCCCUUCCUUUCAGCAGCGCCCGGAGGCGGGGACGCGGAAACAGGCUCCGGGGUGACAUGACUUGCCCAGGUCAGCCUGGCCAGGAAGUAGUCAAAGCGGGAUGUGAUCUCGACCCCACCAGGGGCGGGCGCACU
Long non-coding RNA from Capra hircus (goat), 569 nucleotides. RefSeq lists it as uncharacterized. The record is from RefSeq and is a predicted model, not a curated record. NCBI's taxonomy places the organism in Eukaryota, Metazoa, Chordata, Mammalia, Artiodactyla, Bovidae. The transcript is spliced from 3 exons.